This 1452-nucleotide long non-coding RNA is filed under the name Marmota monax (woodchuck). The record is from RNAcentral. Lineage: Eukaryota; Metazoa; Chordata; Mammalia; Rodentia; Sciuridae.
ACAAGUGACAGCUUGGGGGUCAGGUCCUAACCCAGCAAUUGGACACGCAGUGAUGCCUCCAGGUUUCUGAGACACUGGAGCAUGGGAAGAAUGUGGCCAAGAGGUGAAAAUCUCUCCUGCCCAAUAUAGAGGCAAAGGAAAUUCACUUGGGGCUGAGCUUGGGCAAUGGAACAGGGCUUAUUUAUUCAGUCACCUUUUAUCUGACCCAAUAUUUGAGAACCCAUCACCAACAACAGUUUAUAGACAUAUGACCUUCCGUGAUUGGCAAAGGUGUCCACAUAGACCAUUGUCAUGAUGACGGCGAGAGCUAAGGUCUCUCACUCGUGUGUUUGCUUUCCAUGUGUUUUGUUGAUUAAUCCUCCCAGACUGUAAGGUAGGUUCUCUUGUCCUCAAGUGACUGAUGAGGAAACUAAGGUAGAAAGAGGUUAAGUUGUUUCCCAAGAUAUCACGUGAUGCUCAUAACAAUUUAGUGAGGGAUUUAGGAGAGGAUCUCCGCCAUUUUAUAAAUGAGGCAAUCCAGGUUGGGAAGAAUUACUCAAAGUCAGACUUAUUGGAGCCCAACCCAAAGGUCUUUCUACCAUACUGUGUGGUUCAUAAAAGCAGCAGCAGAGCAUGUAGUUCUGAUUCUUUAAACUAAAGGUAUUUUUAGAGAUGAGUCUUGAUUCCUUGCCUGACCCACAGAGACAAUAGACCAAGCUAACUACUUCAACUAUGCUGGAUCAAUCUGAGAGAGGUUACUUUUGGAGAAUAAGGAUAAAAUUGGAGCUGGGCCUGUUGGUACACACCUAUGCUCAAUGACUGGAAGGUGCUGAGACAGGAGGCUUGCAAGUUCAAGCAAUUUAGCGUGGGCAACUUAGUGAGAACCUGUCUCAAAAUGAAAAGGGCUAAGGAUGUCGCUCAGGGGUAGAGUGCCCCUAGGUCAAUUCCCAGUACUGUAAAAUAAAAUAAAAUAAGGAUAAAGGGAUUCCAUAUUGAAGGUUUUACAGGACAGUCCACAUUCAAGAGAUUUUUGUCUAGUUAUCACCAGAAAUGCACUCUUUCUUUUUACAUUAUGUGUAUGAUUCUUUUUGAAGAAACUUGUAAAAUGGAUGAACUUGAUAUCAGAGCCCCUCCCCCUUCUUACCAGAACCCUCUUGUUCAGAAGCCCCCCACUGUUUGUGGAUGGUUUUGAACCCACAUGAAUCUCUUCUUCGGGUGGAUUCAGAACCAACAGAUCUAGAAUGAUUUUGUGGAGUAGGAUCUUUGACUCUGUGUUUUAGUUAUGCCACAUAAAAAUCUCCCCCAAACGUAGGGCCUUAAACCAAUACGUACUUCUUAUCUCAUAGUUUCUGUAGGUCAUAAAUCUGGGCACAGCUUAACUGGUUUCUCUGCUUCAGGGUCUCUCUGAGGAUGCAGUCAGUAAGGGUUCAGGUCUCAUCUGCAGGUCUGACUGGGACAGUAUCUAAUUCCAAG